RNAcentral lists this ribosomal RNA (562 nucleotides) under uncultured marine bacterium. RNAcentral's name for it is "bacterial SSU rRNA". It matches the Rfam family "Bacterial small subunit ribosomal RNA", at positions 342 to 920 of the family's 1533-position model. The record is from RNAcentral.
CGGGAGGCAGCANUGGGGAAUAUUGGACAAUGGGGGCAACCCUGAUCCAGCCAUGCCGCGUGAGUGAAGAAGGCCUUAGGGUUGUAAAGCCCUUUCGCUAGGGAAGAUAAUGACGGUACCAAGAAAAGAAGUCCCGGCUAACUCCGUGCCAGCAGCCGCGGUAAUACGGAGGGGACGAGCGUUGUUCGGAAUUACUGGGCGUAAAGAGUACGUAGGCUGUGUUGCAAGUUGGGUGUGAAAGCCCGGGGCUCAACCCCGGAACUGCACUUCAAAACUGUGACGCUAGAGAUCGUGAAGAGGUAAGUGGAAUUCCCAGUGUAGAGGUGAAAUUCGUAGAUAUUGGGAAGAACACCAGUGGCGAAGGCGGCUUACUGGUCCGAUACUGACGCUGAGGUACGAAAGCGUGGGGAGCAAACACGAUUAGAUACCCUGGUAGUCCACGCCGUAAACUAUGAAUGCUAGUUGUUGAAAAGUAUACUUUUCAGUGACGCAUCUAACGCAUUAAGCAUUCCCCCGGGAGAGUACGGUCGCGAGAAAAAAACUCACAGGAUUUGACGGCUCA